Molecule: long non-coding RNA, 3435 nt
Filed under: Triticum aestivum (bread wheat)
Lineage: Eukaryota; Viridiplantae; Streptophyta; Magnoliopsida; Poales; Poaceae
Description: long non-coding RNA (TAES_LNC023143)
Source: RNAcentral
UUUCUUCUUUUCGUAGUAGGUUGUUGACCUGCGUGCUUGUUUAUCGUAACUUCCCUGGCCUACGUGCCGUGAACUAUGUUGGCAUGCGUGCCUAGGUUGGUGACCUGAUACUCUAUUUGCUCGUCCCUUUUCGUGGUUGCUUUAGCGUCUGUUUACUCUGUCCCAUGGCUUUAUUUAUAAAGUCAGGCAUAUACCUUUUCUUUAGAAAAAAUAAACCGCAACUAGAGUAGUAACGUGUGUGUUACUAGUAUGUGGAGCAAGUAAUGUUGAUUUUAUUUUGUGUUUACAACCACACAAUUAUUAGUACUCAUAAUCUGAGCAUUGGCUCAUAUUUUGCACUAUUUUGAGCUCUUUUCAUUAAAAGAAAGAGCUAGAUUACAAUCCAAAAUCUAGUUUGGUCGGACUAUUUUGCCAGCGUGAUUCUUGUGUGUGUGCGUAGUGUUGGUUGUGUGCAUCUUAAUUAUGCAUAGGCUGGGUGUGUACUCAUUGUGCUUGUAUCGCUCGAUGCUACAUUAUGAGUCAAUAAAAACACCCUUUGUCGAAAAAAGUUUGAUCAAACUGUUUAUUUAUUUAUCAAUUUAUUCGGCAUUGUUGUUUCAUGUACUUGACCAUAUGGUUGGCUUGUUGCAGGCGCUGGUGUCUUUGGACACUUAUCGGACUCUUUUCUGGGUCGGAAGGGAUCGCUCUUGCUUGUGUGCUCCCUCAAUGCCAUUUUCGGCCUCCUCACCGCGCUCUCUCCGAACUAUUGGGCCUACGUGGCCUUGCGCAUCCUCACAGGCUUUAGCGCCGGCAGCAUUUGCCUUUGCUCCUUCGUCCUUGCCACAGAGCCCGUAGGGCCCUCCUAUCGUGGCGUUGUUGGCAUGUCCACGUGUUAUUUCUUCUCCGGCGGCAUCGCGAUCCUCGCCGGCAUUGCCGCGAUGUUCCAGUCCUCCUGGCGCCUCCUCUAUGUCGUGACCUCCAUGCCCUCCCUCGCCUUCAUGCUCACCGUCAUGCCAUUCGUCUCGGAGUCCCCACGUUGGUACCUUGUGCGGAGGCGCGCCGAGGAUGCAAUGCGCGUCAUACGAGACAUUGCAUCCACCAAUAGAAAAAGCAUCCCAGAUGGCAUCACACUCAAGCUCGACGAUGAGGAUGACAUCAACAAAAAGACCGAGGAGUCGUCGUCAUCGAUCCUAGACGUGUUUCGGUCACGAACAACGCGGGGCAGGCUGGUGCUCUCAGUGCUCAUCAGUUUCAUUUGUUCGGUGGUAUACUACGGCCUGAGCCUCAAUGUGGUCAAUCUAAAGAUUAACCUUUACAUCAGUGUGGCCGUUAACUCUCUCGCUGAAAUGCCCGCGUUUCUUAUCACUACGGUGCUCCUCCAACACUUGGGUCGGAAGCCACUCGCCAUUGGCUCAAUGCUGCUCAGCGGUGUUUUCUGUACAUCUGCCAGUCUUAUUACAGGUGUCGGUGUCAUGAGGUAAUUAAAUCCUUCUUGUUUUUGCAUGUACCUGACAUGAUGGGUCAGAAGAUUUUCUUUAACCGCAAACAAUUGCAUGUCAUUGUAGGGCGCUAAGGAUGGCAUGUGGUGUGGUGGGAAUCUUCGGAAUGGCCGCGACAUACAACCUAUUAGUUGUAUACACAGCAGAGUUGUUCCCUACGACGGUGCGUACUGCGGCGAUGGGAUGUACGUUACAAGCUUCCAAGAUGGGUGCCAUACUAGCACCCAUGGUAGUGUUACUCGGGGAGCGGACGCCAUUCGCAGUGUUUGGCAUGUUGGGUAUCAUCGGUGGGCUACUGGUGUUCUGCCUCCCGGAGACUAUGCACAAGCCAUUGUAUGACACCAUGUUCGGAUUGGAGAAAGGCGAGGGAGAAUUUGUAAUUAAAGGGAAAAUUACAAGAGGAAACUCCGAAAUUUGACCAGUUUCCAUAAGCACUUUCUCCAUAAGUAUUGCUGGACCCAAAGAUAUUACCAAUGGAACCAUGUUGCAUACAAAGAGCGGGGCGUGUUGGUUUUCUCAUCUGCAUUACUAGUUUUGCAUGUGCUAGAGGAUAUACUCUUACUUUUAAAGAUUUUAGUAGAUGGUUUCUAUGAUAAAUCAGUAGUGGACAUGGUGGCAAUGCGAGGAUGUAAUCAUGCUUAUCAGUUACCACGUGAUUCGUGCAGUUUUAAUACACAUAACGCGUAUAAUAAUAUCUCUUCAUCGUAUUCAUGUACAUGUAGUAUAGUUUUCUUAUUAUAUUAUUGCUCUGAAUGCAUUGAGUUUCUGUUAGUCUGAACGGCUACCUGAAUCAGUGAUUUGUUGGAGCAGCUGUCUCUUGUGGCUUCAGGCGAGAGGAGAACAUGGGCAGGAGUGUCAGUUGCAAUAUACAUAGUAAAUGCACUAACCUUUCGCCGUUCGACGAACUGGAUGUCAUGCUUCGUUCCAGAUAUUAUUCAUGUGGCUGGCCAACCUCGUUUUCCUUUGCAUGGUGCUCAUUCACCUACAUCGACCAUUUGACAUUGAUCCCACCAUAAUGAUGCUGAUUAUGACUCAUUAACACUGCCCACCCUUGCAGAUGUAUAAUUAGUAUUAUUUGCAUCCUCAUCCAGUACCUUUAGUAGUACUAAUGAAGACCACAACCCAGCUGCCCCUAAUGUAAUAGUUGAGCUCUGCAACGUUGUACUCCCUCCAUUUUUAUAUACAAGGCCACUAUGAAAUAUAGAGCUUACAUAUAUACAAGGCCACCAUCAGUAAUCGAGGCAAAGUUAAUGAUAUUUUCUCAUACCAACAACAUGUUUAAUACUUGCAUGCAUGCAGUCAUAAUCAUAGGCAGCUACUUCCUCCACUCAGUUUCUUUGCAUGCAUGCGGAGUAUUAAUGAUCCUAGUAAACAAGAAGAAAAGUUGAUUUAUAAAGCAGGCAUUAAAUUUUACAUUGAUACCUGUAAUCCGAGUUUGUGGCCUUGUAUACAAAAAUGGAGGGAGUACUUAAGGUCCAACGUUAGAACUUGCCUACCUUGGCCACAAACAGUAACCAUUGGUAUAUUAGGAUAAAUCUCCAUCUUCCCAUACAAUCUCUUUUCUUUACAAGGCAAAACUUUAUUUCUCGAAUAAUGGCGAGAUCGUUUACAAUAAGAUGAGAAAUAAAGUCCGGGAUAGCAUCUUCCCAAACCUCACAAGAUCUACUAGGGAGAGAUGAUUUUGUUAUACAAUCAGCUACACAGUUUGCUUCCGAGGCCACUUACUUACUUCAUACUUUGCAUAGUCCAGACCCAUCUCUUUACUUUCCAGAAGGAUAACUAGUUCAUGCCCAAGAAAAGUUUCAGAAUUGAGAGCAUCAACUGAAUUUAUAAAGUCAGGCAUAUACCUUUUCUUUAGAAAAAAUAAACCGCAACUAGAGUAGUAACGUGUGUGUUACUAGUAUGUGGAGCAAGUAAUGUUGAUUUUAUUUUGUGUUUACAACCACACAAUUAUUAG